Molecule: ribosomal RNA, 429 nt
Filed under: Chloroflexota bacterium
Lineage: Bacteria; Bacillati; Chloroflexota
Description: Chloroflexi bacterium partial 16S ribosomal RNA
Rfam family: Bacterial small subunit ribosomal RNA
Source: RNAcentral
UGGGGAAUAUUGCACAAUGGGCGCAAGCCUGAUGCAGCCAUGCCGCGUGUAUGAAGAAGGCCUUCGGGUUGUAAAGUACUUUCAGUCGGGAGGAAGGUGGUAAGGUUAAUAACCUUAUCAAUUGACGUUACCGACAGAAGAAGCACCGGCUAACUCCGUGCCAGCAGCCGCGGUAAUACGGAGGGUGCAAGCGUUAAUCGGAAUUACUGGGCGUAAAGCGCACGCAGGCGGUUGAUUGAGUCAGAUGUGAAACCCCCGGGCUUAACCCGGGAAUUGCAUCUGAUACUGGUCAGCUAGAGUCUUGUAGAGGGGGGUAGAAUUCCAUGUGUAGCGGUGAAAUGCGUAGAGAUGUGGAGGAAUACCGGUGGCGAAGGCGGCCCCCUGGACAAGGACUGACGCUCAGGUGCGAAAGCGUGGGGAGCAAACAGG